CAGGUGGAAAAGCUCCAUCUCCACUGCAGCUCCAUGAUGUGUGAAAUAGCCUCUCUGUGCGUGCCUGCUUGGAUGCCUUUGAGCUAAAGGAGAAAACUUCGGAGCCAGCCCUACAGUCCCAGUCCAGCUUUGGAUCUGCCUGUGCUCCCUUCUGGCCCCAUGACGGCCCUUUGUACAAGGUGCUUAAGACCACCUCUGAAAAGCUUCUUUGCACAAUUCUGAUGACAUCAGCAGUAAUAAACCCACUGAUGAACACAGUUUAACAACAGUUGUGGAACACUGAACCAUGCAAAGGAACCAGGGCAGCUGGAUCAGUUAAGAAAAAAUCAAUGGUGGUACAGAUGGUGAUGACAGCUCAUACAGAAAUGCUGCUAGAUUUCUAACCAUUGCCUUGAAACACUGAUUUCAGACUGCAGGGCUGUAAUGACAACAUAAAUGAAGCACAGGAAUGUCUGCCCUUCUUCUGCUUCAGCACAGGGGGCAAGACUGGUGAAAAAAAAUUUGCUGGCAAGGUUGAAGAACUCAAAAUGAGACCUCUCUCCCAGCUCUGGAAUUCCCAUUGAUAGUAGUUGAUUCUGCAUAAAGGAUACAGG
This is a long non-coding RNA of Corapipo altera (White-ruffed manakin), 593 nucleotides long. RefSeq lists it as uncharacterized. The transcript is spliced from 6 exons. NCBI's taxonomy places the organism in Eukaryota, Metazoa, Chordata, Aves, Passeriformes, Pipridae. The record is from RefSeq and is a predicted model, not a curated record.